UUAUGGCCAUGUCACGUUGAAAAACCUGUUCUCGUAUAACCACCGAAGUUAAGCAACAAUGAGUCAGGUUAGUAUCAAGAUGAGUGACUGCUUUGGAAUACCAGGUGUUGUAA
Non-coding RNA from Acanthosepion pharaonis, 113 nucleotides. Lineage: Eukaryota; Metazoa; Mollusca; Cephalopoda; Sepiida; Sepiidae. The record is from the annotation of a GenBank genome assembly.